RNAcentral lists this ribosomal RNA (463 nucleotides) under Vreelandella stevensii. RNAcentral's name for it is "partial 16S ribosomal RNA". It matches the Rfam family "Bacterial small subunit ribosomal RNA", at positions 339 to 794 of the family's 1533-position model. The record is from RNAcentral. Lineage: Bacteria; Pseudomonadati; Pseudomonadota; Gammaproteobacteria; Oceanospirillales; Halomonadaceae.
CUACGGGGGGCAGCAGUGGGGAAUAUUGGACAAUGGGCGAAAGCCUGAUCCAGCCAUGCCGCGUGUGUGAAGAAGGCCUUCGGGUUGUAAAGCACUUUCAGUGGGGAAGAAAGCCUUGGGGCUAAUACCCUCGAGGAAGGACAUCACCCACAGAAGAAGCACCGGCUAACUCCGUGCCAGCAGCCGCGGUAAUACGGAGGGUGCGAGCGUUAAUCGGAAUUACUGGGCGUAAAGCGCGCGUAGGCGGUCUGAUAAGCCGGUUGUGAAAGCCCCGGGCUCAACCUGGGAACGGCAUCCGGAACUGUCAGGCUAGAGUGCAGGAGAGGAAGGUAGAAUUCCCGGUGUAGCGGUGAAAUGCGUAGAGAUCGGGAGGAAUACCAGUGGCGAAGGCGGCCUUCUGGACUGACACUGACGCUGAGGUGCGAAAGCGUGGGUAGCAAACAGGAUUAGAUACCCUGGUAGU